UGAGCACCCUCUUCUGUAUUUGU
This 23-nucleotide unclassified non-coding RNA is filed under the name Mus musculus (house mouse). RNAcentral describes it as "oocyte_clustered_small_RNA13180". The record is from RNAcentral. Lineage: Eukaryota; Metazoa; Chordata; Mammalia; Rodentia; Muridae.